GUGAUGUAAUUAGCUUGGGUGCUUAAAUAGGGAGGUUUUUGAACUCUGCUCUCAUUCCACUUUUGGAUCUCUGUGUAUGAGGACACACAAGGAGAGCUGCUGGGAAAUAAAAGAAGCUUAAUAUUAUUUAUCCCAUUGCCGGAUCCUCAUAUAUAUUUUUUGGACAUAUGAAAGUAUUGUAGGUAAAAUAUGGAUUAUAAUUUUGUGAAAAUACAGCUGUUUCAAAUUAAUUAAUUACCUUUUCAUAAAAAACACUCCUGAAGAAGUCGACAUACGACGAAACGCGUUGAGUGAAAAAAUCUUUUAUUGUUUGGAAAAGUUGUUAUUCAAUUUUUUGGCUGUAAUGAACAAUAACACAUUGUAAAAGUGUACAUCAUUUUUUAUCAGUAUUGAAAUUUAAUUAUUUUAGCAAUAAAAAGCA
Pseudophryne corroboree (corroboree frog) is the source of this 421-nucleotide long non-coding RNA. RefSeq lists it as uncharacterized. The transcript is spliced from 4 exons. Lineage: Eukaryota; Metazoa; Chordata; Amphibia; Anura; Myobatrachidae. The record is from RefSeq and is a predicted model, not a curated record.